UGGGGAAUUUUGGACAAUGGGCGCAAGCCUGAUCCAGCCAUGCCGCGUGCGGGAAGAAGGCCUUCGGGUUGUAAACCGCUUUUGUCAGGGAAGAAAUCUUCUGAGUUAAUACCUCGGGAGGAUGACGGUACCUGAAGAAUAAGCACCGGCUAACUACGUGCCAGCAGCCGCGGUAAUACGUAGGGUGCAAGCGUUAAUCGGAAUUACUGGGCGUAAAGCGUGCGCAGGCGGUUUUGUAAGACAGAGGUGAAAUCCCCGGGCUCAACCUGGGAACUGCCUUUGUGACUGCAAGGCUUGAGUGCGGCAGAGGGGGGAUGGAAUUCCGCGUGUAGCAGUGAAAAUGCGUAGAUAUGCGGAGGAACACCGAUGGCGAAGGCAAUCCCCUGGGCCUGCACUGACGCUCAUGCACGAAAAGCGUGGGGAGCAAAACAGGAUUAGAUACCCUGGUAGUCCACGCCCUAAAACGAUGUCAACUGGUUGUUGGGAAGGUUCCUUCUCAGUAACGUAGCUAACGCGUGAAGUUGACCGCCUGGGGAGUACGGCCGCAAGGUUG
Molecule: ribosomal RNA, 553 nt
Filed under: uncultured bacterium
Lineage: Bacteria
Description: partial 16S ribosomal RNA
Rfam family: Bacterial small subunit ribosomal RNA
Source: RNAcentral